This is a long non-coding RNA of Gallus gallus (chicken), 210 nucleotides long. RefSeq lists it as uncharacterized. The transcript is spliced from 2 exons. The record is from RefSeq and is a predicted model, not a curated record. NCBI's taxonomy places the organism in Eukaryota, Metazoa, Chordata, Aves, Galliformes, Phasianidae.
GCAUUAUCAGUGCCUCCUCUCUGCUGUUGACAAUGAAGUGCUGCACAGUCAGGAAAAAGAAUGUCAAGAGCUUUUUUGGCCAUCUUGUUGAGAUGAUGUUCAGCCAGAAAAUAGAGGACAAAAAGACUACUCAAGGCCAUUGAAAACAUAAAAAUCGGGAAAAAAAAAUUAAAUUAGUUGACAAGAGCUGAAGAAGUUUCUGACGAGAAG